Molecule: transfer RNA, 77 nt
Filed under: Dethiosulfovibrio peptidovorans
Lineage: Bacteria; Thermotogati; Synergistota; Synergistia; Synergistales; Dethiosulfovibrionaceae
Also listed under: 6 other names
Description: tRNA-Asp
Rfam family: tRNA
About the family: Transfer RNA (tRNA) molecules are approximately 80 nucleotides in length. Their secondary structure includes four short double-helical elements and three loops (D, anti-codon, and T loops).
Source: RNAcentral
GGGGUCGUAGCUCAGCUGGUUAGAGUGCCGGCCUGUCACGCCGGAGGUCGCGAGUUCAAGUCUCGUCGGCCCCGCCA